RNAcentral lists this long non-coding RNA (1875 nucleotides) under Marmota monax (woodchuck). Lineage: Eukaryota; Metazoa; Chordata; Mammalia; Rodentia; Sciuridae. The record is from RNAcentral.
GUCUUGCACCCUAACCAGUUAUAUCUGGAUUUUUAAAAAAAUGCAAUUACACACAACAAAGACUAACAGUAUUUACUUAAAAUAUUGUGUGUAUGUGUGUAUAUACACACAUAUAUAUAUAUACACACACACAUGUAUAUACUUAUAUAUAUCUUUUUUGUGAAGAUAUUUUUCUUUUCCUUUUUUUUUUUUUUUUUUGUGCCCAAGUAGAGAUACAAUGGUAUUUGAAAUGAUGCCCCAGAACAGAAAUAGUCCUUAAAGGAAUAACAGUUCAAAAAUAAAAAUUGUACAAAUGGUUGAACAUACUUGCAACACCUCCAGAAAUCAACUCAAUACAAUGAGAAAAUCAAUAGUUGAUUUAAAUUCUCACCCAAAUAACACGACCUCGAACACCAGCCUUUGCAGCUAGUGGAGGCCACUCUCCAGGGAGGGGCCUCCACACAGGCAGCCUCCUGCCACCCAGCCCUGGCCCCUGGAGCUGCCCCUCCAAAGUCACAACAGCAUCUGCUUCACAUUAGCUUUGCGUAUUUCUGGCAAGACCUUGCAACAGGGACACACACACACAUACACACACACACGUGCUAUGGGCACACACACACACACACAAAACACAUAAAUUUCCCAUGCAACCCAGAUGCACCAGGUGAGCUGAAUGAUUUUCAGCCAACCACAAUGACAGAAGCACCAAACAGUCUUUGAAAUGGGUCAGUUAUUACAAUUUGAUUUUUUAUGUAUGUAUAUAUAUAUAUAUAUGCAUAUAUAUACACACACACAUAUAUAUAUGUUCUAGUUUUCCUCUUUGUGUUAUGUUUAAAAAAAAGAAUAGAAAAAGAAAAAAGCACAAAUGAAAAAUGAAUAAUUCUUUCCAGAUCAGUUUAAGGCUUCCCACUGAAUGGAAACAGAAGAGGCCUUACACACUGUCGCAUGGGGUGAAUGCGCACCGUUCUCAGCCUUAAAGUGAUGGAAGAGAUCAGUGUUGCCAGUCACGGGUUAAGUAUUGUGCCUUUAAGUUGAUGUCGUUCUUUUUGCUACUAUGCUGAGUUUUAUUAUUACUGGUUAUUUUUGAUGGCGUAUAUGGAAGUCUCCUCUGAUUUGCUUUAGAAUUUCUUGACCUUACUACAUUAGUAGGGUGGCUUUUUGUUUUGUUCUGUUUUGCUUUUCACCAGGAAACAAAUGCAUCUUGCUAGGUGAAUGCUAAAAUGGCACAUAGUCAGCCUUCAAGCAGCUUUUCUAGCCAUUUGAGACCCAAACGGCUCUUGGGCUCCUAGAAGGCUCAGUGAAGUGCGGCAGGGACGGGAGAGUAUCGGGAGAAACCAAACGGAGGGAGGGGUUUCUAUGCCUUUGCUUUUGGUAAAUUUGUUUUCCUCAAUACAAAUAAUCAGAUAGAUAGGAAGAAUGAUUGCUUUGUAUUGUUGGAUUUGUUUGUUUGUUUGUUUCGUUUGUAGAUUUGUUUCAUUUGAUUGUUGAAAUUUCUCCUCUCCUGGUGCAAAAGUCACCAGAGAGUUUUGCGUGAGAAAACGUGACAGUACUUAAUGAAACUCAGCACCUAAGGGCAUAAGGCAGUUGAAGGUUGUUUAUUUGUUUGUUUGUUUGUUUGUUUUUGUUUUGUUUUGUUCUUUCAAUCAGCACCAAUCCCGGAAAUGAUCUACACUUGGUGUAAGGUAUAAAACUUUUUUUUCUUUUGGAGCAGAGGCCACGCCUCCUCCUCCACCCCAGGAAUCAUAGUGUGGGAUUUUUCAAUACUGUUUCUUAUGUGUAAAAAACAAAAGAAAGGUUUUCUUUUUGUUUUUACUUACAAAACAUAGAGAAUAUCUUUGUAUACAUACGGCGACUGGAAAGAAAGCUUAUCUGAAGGGGACGUGACUUAAUUCUCUG